GCUGGGCGUGGUGAUGCACACCUGUAAUCCCAGGGGCUCGGGAGGCUGAGGCAGGAGGAUCGCGAGUUCAAAGCCGGCCUCAGGAAAGGCGAGGCACUAAGCAACUCAGUGAGACCCUGGCCCUA
This 125-nucleotide small RNA is filed under the name Marmota monax (woodchuck). The record is from RNAcentral. Lineage: Eukaryota; Metazoa; Chordata; Mammalia; Rodentia; Sciuridae.